This 377-nucleotide unclassified non-coding RNA is filed under the name uncultured bacterium. Its description in RNAcentral is "contains 16S-23S intergenic spacer region". The record is from RNAcentral.
UCCGGUUUGGCACCGGCAGUCCUCCCAGAGUCCCCGCCUUGACGCGCUGGCAACUAAGGGUAGGGGUUGCGCUCGUUGCGCCACUUAAGGCAACACCUCACGGCACGAGCUGACGACAGCCAUGCAGCACCUGUGCCGGCUCCCGAAGGAGCGCCGUGUUUCCACGGUUUCACCCGGCAUGUCAAGCCCUGGUAAGGUUCUUCGCGUCGCGUCGAAUUGAGCCACAUGCUCCGCCGCUUGUGCGGGCCCCCGUCAAUUCCUUUGAGUUUCAGCCUUGCGGCCGUACUCCCCAGGCGGGGCACUUAAUGCGUUAGCGCCGGCACCCAGGGGGCCGCUCCCCCAGGCACCUAGUGCCCAUCGUUUACGGCGUGGACUAC